CCUACGUGGAGCAGCAGUGGGGAAUAUUGCGCAAUGGGCGAAAGCCUGACGCAGCGACGCCGCGUGAGGGAUGAAGGUCUUCGGAUCGUAAACCUCUGUCAGCAGGGAAGAACGGUCACUGUGCCAAUCAGCAGUGAAUUGACGGUACCUGCAAAGGAAGCACCGGCUAACUCCGUGCCAGCAGCCGCGGUAAUACGGAGGGUGCGCGCGUUAAUCGGAAUUACUGGGCGUAAAGCGCUCGUAGGCGGUAUGUCAAGUCAAGGGUGAAAUCCCCGCGCUCAACGUGGGAACUGCCUUUGAAACUGGCAAACUGGAGUGUGUGAGAGGAUAGUGGAAUUCCAGGUGUAGGAGUGAAAUCCGUAGAUAUCUGGAGGAACAUCAGUGGCGAAGGCGACUAUCUGGCACAUAACUGACGCUGAGGAGCGAAAGCGUGGGUAGCAAACAGGAUUAGAUACCCGGGUAGUC
This 465-nucleotide ribosomal RNA is filed under the name uncultured bacterium. RNAcentral describes it as "partial 16S ribosomal RNA". It matches the Rfam family "Bacterial small subunit ribosomal RNA", at positions 338 to 795 of the family's 1533-position model. The record is from RNAcentral.